UACGUAGGGUGCGAGCGUUGUCCGGAAUUAUUGGCCGUAAAGGGCUCGUAGGCGGUUUGUCGCGUCGGGAGUGAAAACUCAGGGCUUAACCCUGAGCCUGCUUCCGAUACGGGCAGACUAGAGGUAUGCAGGGGAGAACGGAAUUCCUGGUGUAGCGGUGAAAUGCGCAGAUAUCAGGAGGAACACCGGUGGCGAAGGCGGUUCUCUGGGCAUUACCUGACGCUGAGGAGCGAAAGUGUGGGGAGCGAACAGG
This 253-nucleotide ribosomal RNA is filed under the name uncultured bacterium. RNAcentral's name for it is "partial 16S ribosomal RNA". It matches the Rfam family "Bacterial small subunit ribosomal RNA", at positions 524 to 776 of the family's 1533-position model. The record is from RNAcentral.